Molecule: ribosomal RNA, 331 nt
Filed under: uncultured bacterium
Lineage: Bacteria
Description: bacterial SSU rRNA
Rfam family: Bacterial small subunit ribosomal RNA
Source: RNAcentral
CGUGUAGGCGGGUCUUUAAGUCAGGGGUGAAAUGCCAAGGCUCAACCUUGGAACUGCCUUUGAUACUGGAGAUCUUGAGUCCGGGAGAGGUGAGUGGAACUGCGAGUGUAGAGGUGAAAUUCGUAGAUAUUCGCAAGAACACCAGUGGCGAAGGCGGCUCACUGGCCCGGAACUGACGCUGAGACGCGAAAGCGUGGGGAGCAAACAGGAUUAGAUACCCUGGUAGUCCACGCUGUAAACGAUGGAUGCUAGCCGUUGGGGAGCUUGCUCUUCAGUGGCGCAGCUAACGCUUUAAGCAUCCCGCCUGGGGAGUACGGUCGCAAGAUUAAAA